RNAcentral lists this non-coding RNA (20 nucleotides) under Rattus norvegicus (Norway rat). The record is from RNAcentral. Lineage: Eukaryota; Metazoa; Chordata; Mammalia; Rodentia; Muridae.
UUCAGAACGGUCCUACAGUA